Serinus canaria (Common canary) is the source of this 73-nucleotide small nucleolar RNA. Its record names the gene SNORD58. It matches the Rfam family "Small nucleolar RNA SNORD58". From Rfam's summary of the family: snoRNA U58 is found in introns 1, 3 and 6 of the ribosomal protein RPL17 gene in humans. U58 is a member of the C/D class of snoRNA which contain C (UGAUGA) and D (CUGA) box motifs. Most of the members of the box C/D family function in directing site-specific 2'-O-methylation of substrate RNAs. Lineage: Eukaryota; Metazoa; Chordata; Aves; Passeriformes; Fringillidae. The record is from Ensembl.
UUGCUGUGAUGACUAUCUUAGGACACCUUUGGAAUACCUAUGAAAAAAACCUUAUAAGUUCUUUCUGAGCAAC